GGUACAAGUGGGGCGGGACGCCUGACCAGCCAAGUCGCGUGAGGGAAGACGGUCCUAUGGAUUGUAAACCUCUUUUGUCGGGGAGCAAAGAGGCCACGUGUGGUCAAAAGCGAGAGUACCCGAAGAAAAAGCAUCGGCUAACUCCGUGCC
This 150-nucleotide ribosomal RNA is filed under the name uncultured bacterium. Its description in RNAcentral is "partial 16S ribosomal RNA". It matches the Rfam family "Bacterial small subunit ribosomal RNA", at positions 366 to 509 of the family's 1533-position model. The record is from RNAcentral.